GGCUCGAUGAUUGAAGUCAACUUUUUGACAAUAUACGCUAUUCUGAGAUAGCUGAAAGCUGAUAACAGAGAUUAUGAGAGCU
Molecule: small nucleolar RNA, 82 nt
Organism: Zingiber officinale
Lineage: Eukaryota; Viridiplantae; Streptophyta; Magnoliopsida; Zingiberales; Zingiberaceae
Product: small nucleolar RNA U54
Exons: 1
Source: RefSeq, a predicted model, not a curated record